GGGAAGGUGGCUCAGUGGUAGAGUACUUGCCUUGCAUGCAUGACACCCUGGGUUCAAUUCCUCACCACCACU
Dipodomys ordii (Ord's kangaroo rat) is the source of this 72-nucleotide non-coding RNA. The record is from Rfam. NCBI's taxonomy places the organism in Eukaryota, Metazoa, Chordata, Mammalia, Rodentia, Heteromyidae.